AAAAGACAUGCUCUUUUUGUCAACUGAUUUUUACAUAUAUAUUUUUUUUCACUUUAGACAAGUUUUGAUGUUUACAAAGUUAAAAAACUGAUGAAAAGGAUAUACUAAAACUAUGAACAAGGCUAGAUACAAAAGUGCCACGUCUACCUUGCUCUAUGCAAAAGAUAAACAAGAACUAAAGACUCUUGAAACUUUCUCAAUUGCUGCUUUUGAAAGAUUAAAAGCUGCAGAUCAAGAACUAACAUACACCCAAACUACAAACCAAGAACUUCUGCUUAAGCUGAACUACAUUUAGCGGGGCUGCUGGAUGCGGCGAAGGCUGUUCUUUGGGCUAACAAUCUUUGCUGGUUUCUCGUACAACUUUGGAGGUUCGAUAAGAGAUUUUGGCUUUGGCAUGCUCAGUGUCCUUACAAGUGCCUCAGAACCCUUGGGUAAGCCAUUGACACCAGAGAGUGAUGAUUUGAUGCCUUGUUGCUCACUUUCAGAUGAUUGAAGAAAUUCUUCAAACUGAGCUUCCAUAUUCAAAAUAUCCUCAUCGACAUCAAGGUCAAUGUUUUCAGGAAGUAAGUCAGCAACAUCAUUUCCAGCAAAACCAAAAUCAUCAUCACCAUAUUCCUCUCCUUGAUGCUGGCUAGUCCAGUAGUCGCGGAACCAUGUUGCAGUUGUUACCAAAUUCCACCAUUCAGGUGAAAAGUCCUCCACUUGUUGCACAUAAGAUGGGAUGAAGAGAGGUGCAUUCGGAUUCAGUGUUGACGACCUUCCUCCAGAAACUAACGCCAUUCUUCUUUCUCCAAAUUGCUAUCUGAAGGAAAAGAAUGAAUCCAACAUAUUAGUGCAUAAAUACAGCAAAGAGUCAAGAUAUGAUCACAUAAUCUAGGAAGCUGCAACUCAAACACUCAACUAAUAUCUAGAACAUAGAAAACUAGAAAUUUCAGCAAAACUACUUUAACAAACCCCCCUUGAGGAAUGAUUCUACGAUGAUAACCAAAACCAUGGAACCGAUUACAAACAUAUAUUCUCUAAUUAACGAAUAAAAUCUAUCAAAC
RNAcentral lists this unclassified non-coding RNA (1046 nucleotides) under Hevea brasiliensis (rubber tree). Lineage: Eukaryota; Viridiplantae; Streptophyta; Magnoliopsida; Malpighiales; Euphorbiaceae. The record is from RNAcentral.